ACGGGGAACCUCAGGAAGGGAGGGUUUGGGCCUGAAGGGCCAAAGGAGGUGGCAGUUCAUAAGGACUCAGUUGAACCCCAGGAAGAGGAGUGUUACUUUAAGUACUCUUGCCUGCAAGUAUGUCGCUGCAGGUAGGGUGUGUGCAGGGCCAGACUGUGCCAUGCCCUGGGAUGGGACCCUGCCACAUUGAUGCUGCAGGGCAGGAUUGGGAAAGGGAGCUUCAGAAAAGAGAUUGUUAUUGUAUUGUGGUAGCGUCUAGGAGCCCCAGUCAUAGACCAGGACCCCAGUGUGCUAGGCACUGGACAAACAGAACAAAAAGAUGGGCCACAUCCUAGGGAGCCUACAAUCUAAGUAUAAGACAAAUUACGUAGCUAAGACACCUCUUUUUAUUCCUGGUUGGAUGCCCAAGUAGGCCCUAAAGAUCCAAUUGCAAUUUUCAAAAAGAUAUGGUUUAUGCCUAGUGCCAUGGCCAACAGCCUUCUCUCCCCAUCUCAGGGAACCAGGUUGUAAUGUCCAAAAUUAUGUUUGAGCCCCUGCUGUUAAGCUCGCCAAUGUAGUUGUUUCACUACCACUAUAUAUUGUUUUGUAAAAUAGUCUAAUAUAUUGAGUAUGGAAGAUGCUUUAUACAUAUACAUUGUUCUCCACUCCAGUACUGACCUACCAAGAAAAAAAAAAGCCUGGGAAUCAAUUAGAAGCAAGAUGGUUUUGGCAGCAUCUGUGGUCUAUAGGUAGUACUUUGGCAGUGCAGGAGACCUCACUUCCAUUUCUGGUCCCGAUUUCACAUCCUGUGAAGUAAUGUCUAUCUCUCUUAAGCCCUAUGUACUCUUCUAGAGAAUUGUUACAAAAACUUCCCACCCAUUUACCUAGCUUUCUGAUUAUGGUAGCUGUUUUCAGCACUAGGUGGAAGGGACUGUCUUUAAAUGCUUUGGGCAGCACUACCAACUUUAAUGGUGUGACAUACAAAUGUUACAAAAUAAUACUACCUUAGAGUUUGGAAAUGCUCUUGAGGGCAAGAGGCUUUCCCUUCUGGAGGGCAGGAGUACUCAUGUUGCUCACCAUUGACCCCUCCAGCUGAUUAAGGAGUGGCACAAUCUAGAUUCUAUCUAGAAGAUGGACUAGAAAGCAUCAACAGUUUCUGAAGGGAGUUGCAUCCAUUUUUCCGCACCAAAGAGGACAGUAGCCAUUGCAUAGAGUUGUGAGGAUGGGAAGUGAAUGGAGAUGGAAAAAAUGGAGAGAUACUCAGGAUUGUGACAGACAUGAGGAUAAAAAAGGCGGACUUUCUUCCUGUAUUUUUCUUGAAGUGCUAUUGAAAAGUAACUGUUUUGAGGAUGGAAUAGGACAGCCAUAUUAAACCAACAACAUUACAUAAUUGAUUUUAGGAGGGGGAAAUGAAGAACAAUCCCUCGUUUCAGCCUACGGGGUGAAUUUUAGGCAGCUGCAAUGAACAGGUCAAAAAAUAUCAGAACAGAUUAUUUGGGUAUGGUCUGUGCUACAAAGGGUGAACGCUUUAUAAAAGAUGCAAUUGCAUGAAAAACUGUGAGUGCAUACAGGAAGCUGCUGUUCCAGCAGUGCAUUGCUUUGACUCCUGCUUGGAUGCCACAAAACAUUCUUGAGAAAUGGAGGAAAACAAAGGGCAGAGUGCUGGAGCCACCAGAACCCAACUCACCGCAGUAGGUGACCUGAGGAGAAGCUGGCAGAGCUGGGCAGAAGAUCACAUUGAUUAUCAGAGACAGAAUCCAUUCAGCAAUGAUAGCAAGCCCAUGACUAGGUCUGUGCAUCCCCAAAGAGGAGAUCCCAUCUAUGGGAGACCGCCUGAAGGGUCUAAAACAGAGCAAAGAGGAAAAGAUGCCCACACACAUGUGGGAAAGGAAGUGGAAGAGCUAUGCUUGAUCAUGAGAAAUAUUGGGGAGAAAGGAGAUGAUGGAAAUGUAAGAGUGACAUUCCGACAGCUGUUUGAAACAUAUGUGACUAUUUCCAAUAAAGUAGUGGGAAUCCUGCUGAGAGCAAGAAAAUAUGGGCUGGUUCAGUUUGAAGGUGAAAUGCUUUGGCAAGGAAAAGACGACAAUGUCAUCAUCACCUUACUUGAAUAAUACUGAAGAAUGUUUCCAUUUAGGAAAAUAAACCAUCUAAAUGUCAGCUUGAUAAAGGUUUAUACAGCACAGGGGUGGAAUGGAAAACCAAUGAAAAAUAUUUUGAUAGGAUCCUGGAAGUUGGAGAUAGAAAUGAUGCAAUGGGUCAACUAAUCUAUCCCUGUGCCCUUUUCCUUCACAGCUUUGUCUUGUCUACUUCUAAAUGUCUCAAGUGAUGGCUUCUCUUACGGCUCUGCAUAAUUGAAGUUAAAAUUCUUUACUAACUUACUACCAGUCUGCACUGGGUCUUGUAGCACUGAGUUUAGAAAUAAGCACAGAGUAAAAUCUAUCACUGAAUGUGGUAUCUUGCUAAUGAACCACAGUAGAAUGCUUGGAGAUGAAUUAAUAAACUUUUUUCACUUAAAAAAACAAACAAACUGUACCUAUGGUACAACUUUAAUUAUUUUCACAUAUUGAAAUUGUAAUAAUACAUGCAAACUAGCCAUAACUUCACACAGUACUUGAAAAAUUCAAAACCUACCAACUUAAUGAAAUACUCCUUACUUAAAUGUUCUGCAAUUCCAGCAAGAGCAUUUGGUGAUUUCAUAAGUUGUGUUCCACUUUAUGUAUUUUUGGAAGCCAAAUUUUUUUGAUGUGGUAGAAAAAUCUCUUUGCUUUCUUUCCCACUACCUUUUUAAGUGUCUCUGCUUUUUUUUUUUUUUUUUUUUUUUUGAUCUUGGUCUCAUGCUUACUUCUGUCCCAAGAAGUUUACAGGGCAGUCUCUGCUAUGCCCUUUGCAGGAAAUCUGGAAGUGCCCUUGUAAAGGGAUUCUAUCUAGGCCACCUCAGAAGGAAGGCUGCCACAUAACACAGGGCCUUUGAGGGCAGAAAAUGUAAACUAGGCUAAUGCUCAUGGCACUGAAUAAAGAGGAUGAUUCCCUUGAAACAAAAUACAGCAAUGUUGUGCAACUUUUAGAAGGAAGAGCCCGGAGGGAGAGGAGAUGACAGACCGUAGAGUGCCAAAUAGACAUCUAAUCAUGCAACACAUAAUCAUAUACCUCAUUUGGCAGAUGCAGAAAGACAGAGUGGUUUAAACUCUAUGCAUUUUCAGAAUUCUUCAAAAAGGGGAGAAAGAAUGGUCUUGUGGUUGAAAAA
Mauremys mutica (yellowpond turtle) is the source of this 3223-nucleotide long non-coding RNA. RefSeq lists it as uncharacterized. The transcript is spliced from 4 exons. The record is from RefSeq and is a predicted model, not a curated record. NCBI's taxonomy places the organism in Eukaryota, Metazoa, Chordata, Testudines, Geoemydidae.